CCCUUAGAUGUUCUGGGCCGCACGCGCGUUACACUGAUGCAUUCAACGAGUUCUUCCUUGGCCGAGAGGCCUGGGCAAUCUUUUGAACGUGCAUCGUGAUAGGGAUAGAUUAUUGCAAUUAUUAAUCUUGAACGAGGAAUUCCUAGUAAACGCAGUUCAUCAAACUGCAUUGAUUACGUCCCUGCCCUUUGUACACACCGCCCGUCGCUCCUACCGAUUGAAUGUUCCGGUGAGCUCUUCGGACUGCGCGGUCUGCAGUUUCUGCGUUCCGUGCGGAAAGUUGCGCAAACCUUAACAUUUAGAGGAAGGAGAAGUCGUAACA
Molecule: ribosomal RNA, 322 nt
Filed under: uncultured eukaryote
Lineage: Eukaryota
Description: partial 18S ribosomal RNA
Rfam family: Eukaryotic small subunit ribosomal RNA
Source: RNAcentral